GGAUAGCUCAGUCAGUAGAGCAUGAGACUCAGUCUCAGGCUUGUGGGUUCGAGCCCAACGUUGGGCA
Non-coding RNA from Podarcis lilfordi (Lilford's wall lizard), 67 nucleotides. The record is from the annotation of a GenBank genome assembly. Lineage: Eukaryota; Metazoa; Chordata; Lepidosauria; Squamata; Lacertidae.